CGGGGGUAGAGCACUGUUUCGGCUAGGGGGCCAUCCCGGCUUACCAACCCGAUGCAAACUGCGAAUACCGGAGAAUGUUAUCACGGGAGACACACGGCGGGUGCUAACGUCCGUCGUGAAGAGGGAAACAACCCAGACCGCCAGCUAAGGUCCCAAAGUCAUGGUUAAGUGGGAAACGAUGUGGGAAGGCCCAGACAGCCAGGAUGUUGGCUUAGAAGCAGCCAUCAUUUAAAGAAAGCGUAAUAGCUCACUGGUCGAGUCGGCCUGCGCGGAAGAUGUAACGGGGCUAAACCAUGCACCGAAGCUGCGGCAGCGACGCUGAUGCGUUGUUGGGUAGGGGAGCGUUCUGUAAGCCUGCGAAGGUGGCCUGUGAGGGUUGCUGGAGGUAUCAGAAGUGCGAAUGCUGACAUAAGUAACGAUAAAGCGGGUGAAAAGCCCGCUCGCCGGAAGACCAAGGGUUCCUGUCCAACGUUAAUCGGGGCAGGGUGAGUCGACCCCUAAGGCGAGGCCGAAAGGCGUAGUCGAUGGGAAACGGGUUAAUAUUCCCGUACUUGGUGUUACUGCGAAGGGGGGACGGAGAAGGCUAUGUUGGCCGGGCGACGGUU
This 605-nucleotide ribosomal RNA is filed under the name Salmonella enterica. Its description in RNAcentral is "partial 23S ribosomal RNA". It matches the Rfam family "Bacterial large subunit ribosomal RNA", at positions 897 to 1503 of the family's 2925-position model. The record is from RNAcentral. Lineage: Bacteria; Pseudomonadati; Pseudomonadota; Gammaproteobacteria; Enterobacterales; Enterobacteriaceae.